Molecule: ribosomal RNA, 253 nt
Filed under: uncultured bacterium
Lineage: Bacteria
Description: partial 16S ribosomal RNA
Rfam family: Bacterial small subunit ribosomal RNA
Source: RNAcentral
UACGUAGGUGGCAAGCGUUGUCCGGAUUUACUGGGCGUAAAGAGCGCGCAGGCGGUCGUCCAAGUCGCGUGUGAAAGCCCCCGGCUCAACUGGGGAGGGUCACGCGAUACUGGUCGACUCGAAGGCAGGAGAGGGUAGUGGAAUUCCCGGUGUAGUGGUGAAAUGCGUAGAUAUCGGGAGGAACACCAGUGGCGAAGGUGACUACCUGGCCUGUUCUUGACGCUGAGGCGCGAAAGCUAGGGGAGCAAACGGG